CGCCUCCGUCGCAAAUGGGCAAGACUGCUGGAGCCCCUGUGCCGUGCGGAGAUAUGAUACCCACGACAAAUGGUUGGUGGCUUCUGUAGUGUUCUCAAAAGGAAGCGGAGGCCACAUCUUCGAGGAGUCCGAGGUGGCCAGUCUCCCCAUGUGUGUUAUGAAAGCAUACCUGCUUAUCAAGAUGGACUGAGAAAGUAUCAAGAAGAUGAACCCAAGGGUUUCUGGACACAGUCAGAGCGGAAGGACCUACAUUAUUAGUUUUACUAUGUUUUACCUUUCAGUGUUCUUGGAAUUGUAUGGGUGCUUUUGGAGUGGUAUAAAAAUAAAUAAAAAGCAGAAAGCUAAUUUGUAAUUGCUUGUAUAAAUGUUCCAAAAUUCAUUUUAUCUUCUAAACUUUCUU
Molecule: long non-coding RNA, 400 nt
Filed under: Mustela putorius furo (domestic ferret)
Lineage: Eukaryota; Metazoa; Chordata; Mammalia; Carnivora; Mustelidae
Description: lncRNA (ENSMPUG00000028057.1)
Source: RNAcentral